RNAcentral lists this ribosomal RNA (450 nucleotides) under uncultured Glomus. RNAcentral's name for it is "SSU rRNA". It matches the Rfam family "Eukaryotic small subunit ribosomal RNA", at positions 569 to 1024 of the family's 1831-position model. Lineage: Eukaryota; Fungi; Glomeromycota; Glomeromycetes; Glomerales; Glomeraceae. The record is from RNAcentral.
AGCAGCCGCGGUAAUUCCAGCUCCAAUAGCGUAUAUUAAAGUUGUUGCAGUUAAAAAGCUCGUAGUUGAAUUUCGGGAUCAAUAUUUCGGUCAUGCCGUUGGUAUGCACUGUUAUCAUUGAUUUCUCACCUUCUAAAGAACCGUAAUGCCAUUAAUUUGGUGUUACGGGGAAUUAGGACUGUUACCUUGAAAAAUUAGAGUGUUUAAAGCAGGCUCACGCUUGAAUACAUUAGCAUGGAAUAACGGAAUAGGACGUUUGAUUCUAUUUUGUUGGUUUCUAGGAUCGACGUAAUGAUUAAUAGGGAUAGUUGGGGGCAUUAGUAUUCAAUUGUCAGAGGUGAAAUUCUUGGAUUUAUGAAGACUAACUACUGCGAAAGCAUUUGCCAAGGAUGUUUUCAUUAAUCAAGAACGAAAGUUAGGGGAUCGAAGACGAUCAGAUACCGUCGUAGU